GCCAUUUGUUUAGAACCACAUUUCCCUGUCCUUACUUGGGCUCUCAACCAUCCCACUCUACCCAACCUUUACCCUGCCCCUAACUUUCUCCCAGCUCCAAGAUGGCAUCCUUCCCCCUAUCUUGUUACUUUCCGCACAGCCCUGUUUCCAACUGAAACCACAGGGCUGCUGAGUUCUGUGUGGAGCCCACAGGAGCCGGGAGAUCACAGCUGUCACUAGGAUCCGAUGCUUCCCUAAGUGUGUUCUCUCCUAGACCCUUCCCCUAAGGCUGUUCCUAGGAGGCAGCUAUGAAACUGAAAACCCCAUACAUUAGAGAGACUUCCACUCUCCAGAAGGGACAGAAGGCCGAGCAGGGAGCUAGCCCACUGCGAAAAGGGGCUCUGCCUUAAAGCUUCCACAGCAACAACAGGACCAGGGGCAGAGCCUGCUGUUGCAAGCGAUUAGAUGAGGGUCUGGACCUCAUCGAAGGACUUUUCCACUUGAAAAGCUACAGAAACUUUAGAAGGUCUGAAGAGCUCCCCACCUGCUUCUUCUUCAUGACCUUGAGGAUUUUCUUGUCUGACCGCUCUUUGGCUGUCAUCAGGCACUUGGUGACAUCAGCUGUCCACUGGAUCUGACUCGCCGUGAUCACCAUCUGAGGGUUUCUCUGUGUAGCCCUGGCUGUCCUGGAACUGGCUCUGUAGACCAGGCUGGACUAAGACAAUUUGAUUCUGAGACCUUGGCCACCACUCACCUCCACA
RNAcentral lists this small RNA (740 nucleotides) under Rattus norvegicus (Norway rat). Its description in RNAcentral is "uncharacterized LOC102557224". The record is from RNAcentral. Lineage: Eukaryota; Metazoa; Chordata; Mammalia; Rodentia; Muridae.